GGGUUGUGAGGUUAAGCGACUAAGCGUACACGGUGGAUGCCCUGGCAGUCAGAGGCGAUGAAGGGCGUGCUAAUCUGCGAUAAGCGCCGGUAAGGUGAUAUGAACCGUUAUAACCGGCGAUACCCGAAUGGGGAAACCCAGUGUGAUUCGUCACACUAUCAUUAACUGAAUCCAUAGGUUAAUGAGGCGAACCGGGGGAACUGAAACAUCUAAGUACCCCGAGGAAAAGAAAUCAACCGAGAUUCCCCCAGUAGCGGCGAGCGAACGGGGAGGAGCCCAGAGCCUGAAUCAGCAUGUGUGUUAGUGGAAGCGUCUGGAAAGGCGCGCGAUACAGGGUGACAGCCCCGUACACAAAAGCGCAUGUGCUGUGAGCUCGAUGAGUAGGGCGGGACACGUGGUAUCCUGUCUGAAUAUGGGGGGACCAUCCUCCAAGGCUAAAUACUCCUGACUGACCGAUAGUGAACCAGUACCGUGAGGGAAAGGCGAAAAGAACCCCGGCGAGGGGAGUGAAAAAGAACCUGAAACCGUGUACGUACAAGCAG
RNAcentral lists this ribosomal RNA (542 nucleotides) under Salmonella enterica subsp. enterica serovar Enteritidis. Its description in RNAcentral is "partial 23S ribosomal RNA". It matches the Rfam family "Bacterial large subunit ribosomal RNA", at positions 1 to 573 of the family's 2925-position model. RNAcentral also lists the same sequence under 2 other names. The record is from RNAcentral. Lineage: Bacteria; Pseudomonadati; Pseudomonadota; Gammaproteobacteria; Enterobacterales; Enterobacteriaceae.